RNAcentral lists this unclassified non-coding RNA (390 nucleotides) under soil metagenome. RNAcentral's name for it is "partial contains 5.8S ribosomal RNA, internal transcribed spacer 2, and large subunit ribosomal RNA". The stretch from base 1 to 122 matches the Rfam family "5.8S ribosomal RNA", at positions 35 to 154 of the family's 154-position model. The record is from RNAcentral.
GAUGAAGAACGCAGUGAAAUGCGAUACUUGGUGUGAAUUGCAGAAUCCCGCGAAUCAUCGAGUUUUUGAACGCAAGUUGCGCCCGAAGCCAUUCGGCCGAGGGCACGUCUGCCUGGGUGUCACGCAUCGUUGCCCCCCCAAACUCCGGUUCGGGCGGGGCGGAAGUUGGCCUCCCGUGCGUGCCUGCGCGCGCGGUUAGCCCAAAAGCGAGUCCUCGGCGACGAGCGCCACGACAAUCGGUGGUUUUUUUACCCUCGUUCCUCGUCGUGCGUGCCCCGUCGCCCGAACGCGCUCUUGCGACCCUUACGCGUCGCCUCGGCGGCGCUCCCAACGCGACCCCAGGUCAGGCGGGACUACCCGCUGAGUUUAAGCAUAUCAAUAAGCGGAGGA